UCAGUGAUGGCCGCAACAAGAACACAGCACACGGUUAAAUGAUUUACUAUAUCAGGAAUGUUAUAUUAUACUUGCAUACAUUUUAGCAUUAAUUACCCUAUAAACAUAUACUUAAAAAAGCUGAACAUUUACAUUACAUUCUGGUGCAAGAAAAGCAACACCAUUUUGAACAUAAGAAUGUAAUCCAAACUACUUUUGUAGUUCGCUUUUGAGCUUUGCUGAAAUAUCCCACGUAUGAGCAAUUUGUCUAUAACAUUCCUUUCUUUCCACAGGUGGCAGAUGCCCCUUUUCUUCGUUUUUACCUGCAUCGCACUAAAUAUUUUUCUGUUAAACAUAAAGGAAAUUAAAAAAAAUGCAAACCUCUGUUAUGUAGAAAAGAUAAAUAGUAUGUUUAUAGUAUAUUUAGUUUUUAGAUUUAGCACAGAACACCAGUUUCAACUCUCUAGUUCACUCUUGUUCCUUUAGGUAUUUAUGUUCUGCUAUUGCAUUUCUCCCCAUUUGGAACAAUGGCCUAACAAGAUCCAGGUUGGGGAGCUGCUUUGCACAAUCUUGAAGGGCUGGAUCAUUGCUGUUUUAAGACUGCUGAUACUCUGUGCAGGUACAUGGCCCAGGGCAGCUACAAGGGCACUAGGAGAGAAGUCAAGAUGGUGACACAGAGUUUUCUAGGAUUGUAGAGCAGGCCAGUGUGUUUUCUCAUUGAAGAGGAGAUUAUAAUCACUGCCAGCCAGGAGGAAUUUAGGAAUGAAAGGCCAGAAACGAUAUUAUUUUCCCUUGAUGUGGCUUCAUUCUCCUGGGACCCGAGGAACGACAGAUUCCCAUCAUAUGGCCUGAAGAGCUUUGCUGAUGGCUGUGUGAAAGGUAAAAAUAAUUUUUGUUAAAAUGAUACAAAAUAUCUAUUAGGAGCAAGAGAAUAGUCACAGUAUUUGUGUUGUGUUUAGUGUGGUUAGAUGGUUUUAGUUGUAAAAAGAGCAGGUUGUGUUUCAGUUUGCCAUGUAUUUCAUAUCAUUAUACAAUAAAGAUUACAAUAAAACUAUCCAGCCUUUAGACAUGGAAGUGCAAUAAUGAUGCUUUCUGAGAGACAUCUCCAUAUGUGUAUAGAUAUUCAUGUGUGUGUAAAUAUGGUGACUAAUGUGUUUAAUAUUUAAAUAAAUAACUUCCACAAAUGAACCCACUGCUUUCACAUUCAUCUGUCACAAAUCAUGUACUUACUUUGCGUGGCUGGAAAGGGGGCUCUGCUCCUUCUUCUUCCAGCACCACCCAGUCGAUGGGCUCAAAGAACGGGUGGCACCUGAUGUCUCCUCUGGCCCCGAGCCGUCGCCUCGGCUUCUUUUUGAGGAGCUAAAGGUUCAAAGAGCAAUUAUUUUAAUACCACUGAUUUUAUACUCUCUAAAAUACCCAUCAAUGAAAUUACUGCAAAUGAUUCAUAGGUUUGCAAGUUAAUUAUUCAAAUAGGUUUUUAUGAUACAUUAUAGAACGUGUGGUUUCAGAAUGUAACAUGAAACUCUUGUAGCUCAUUCAUGUUAUUGUAUAACCCUAUAAGAAUGCAAAGGCGAUAAAAGGUUUUAACUAAGGCAAUGCAGUAAAAUAAAAAAAUAUUUGUGUUACAAUACUAUUGUUGGAAUAAAUAAAAGUUGAAUGGACAUAUAUGCU
Xenopus laevis (African clawed frog) is the source of this 1650-nucleotide long non-coding RNA. RefSeq lists it as uncharacterized. The record is from RefSeq and is a predicted model, not a curated record. The transcript is spliced from 3 exons. NCBI's taxonomy places the organism in Eukaryota, Metazoa, Chordata, Amphibia, Anura, Pipidae.